Molecule: long non-coding RNA, 1686 nt
Organism: Sapajus apella (tufted capuchin)
Lineage: Eukaryota; Metazoa; Chordata; Mammalia; Primates; Cebidae
Exons: 3
Source: RefSeq, a predicted model, not a curated record
UGGAAGGAGGGGGCAGCCACAGAGGAUAUCUGAGAGGCACAGUGAGACUCUGGGAGAGUUUGAGAGCCAGAGCUCUCCCCAGGAGGCAGCAGGCCUGAGGCCAGCCACUCAGUGUGGGAAGGGGCAAGGGAAACUGGCUAUUUCCCCAUCACUGACAGGCUGUAUAGGGGGGAGGAUAUUCCUAUACUGAGCCCAAAGUCACCAAGACGCUAAAUGCCAAAGUGUUUCAGGAAAAGUCAUAGCAGCCCUUAGAGAAGGCAAAAGAGGAUAAUCACAAAAUAGCAGAACAUUUUGAACACUGGCCAGGAAGAGGCAAAAGCAGCAGCCAGCUGACUACAGCUGGGAACGGGCAGCUAUUUUUAACAGUACAGAAUGCAGUAGAGAUCAAGCAGAACUUUCCAGCUUAGCUGCAGGACAUCUGGCAGCUUCCAGUCUCACCUCUAGGAACCCUAGGACUACCAUGCUGUGAAGAAGCUUGGAAAAAAAAAAGACCAGGUAUUGAGAAGGCUUAGGUGUCCUGGCCUCCCAGCCAUUCCAGCUGAAAGCCCCAAACAUGUGAGAUUCCACCUUCAAUAAAGCCUCAUCAAAACCAGGAGCUGACUACAGCCUCCUAAUGAGACCAAGUGAGACAGUGGAUACAGAGAGGAUCCUAGGACUAGGGGAGGAAAUACUGCUUCUCAAGGAAAGGUAAAAAGAUGGGUGGGGGGCAGAGUGUGGAGAGAGAGAUUCCUAGAUUGUGCUGUCACUCAAAUAGAUGGCCAGUGUUCUCACCUAACUCCAGAGAGAGGGUAGGUGGGCACCAAAUGGCUUAAGGUAUCCAAGUAAGUAUUCAAUGUCUUGGGUAAAGGGCAAACUAAAGACAGUAGAUUGAAAGUGAUCAAGAAGACAGCAACUAGGAGAACUUUAUGAGAUGAAGAAAAAGAAAGUAACAGUAUACAUCUAACCCUCACCUGAGCUUUGUGCAGUAGAAAUCCUGAGAUAUUUUCUUAUUAAAGGAAAAAUAACAUAAUAGCAUUGUGGCUUCACUCUUGCCCAGAAAGGAGUGCUUUUAACUGCAAGAGAUUAAUUAGCCAGGGAAACAGGAGAAGGAAUGAUCAUAAGCCCCAGACUUAGCACAAAAAAUACAUCCCACCUACCUAAGCUUUCCAUGGCAGACAGGUUUGAAAUUAUCCAACCCACCCUGCAAGGAGUAAAGAAAUCCUGUAACACAGCUAUCCUGCUUUCAUGGCUUUUCCUUUUUCUAACCCGCCCUUUUUACUGUAUUUCAAACCAAGGGUUUAAGCAUAAUCUUCACAGUGAGAAGGUACUGAAGACAAAGCAAAGGAAGUCUAACGUGACUGAUAAUCUAGUACCUACUUUGCAAGGACCUUGUGAAGAUCAAACGACAGGAUGUGUUCACUAUAAGCAAUUGGCAAAUAUGUGCUUGAUAAACGGUAACUAUGUUAUCUAUUUGUGGCUUUACCAUAGGACUGAACACAGCUCCAUGUAUCUGUUUUAAAUUUAAUUGUUCACACGAUCAUAUUUUUUUCUUUAGCCGACAAUUGCUUGAAAACAGUGACUGUAUUUUAUUUUUGUGUGUGUACCAGUCUAGAACAGGCAGUUCCUGUUAGGCACUACACAAAUAUUUGUUAAAUGAAUGAAUCAAUGAAUGGAAGAAGACAUACUUGCUGAAUUGCAUAAAAAGAG